CUAAGUUACAAAGAUUUCCCGAAAGGAUUCGUAAGCAAUUACGGAGGCGCCUUGUAACCGAAAUGAUAAAGGGGGAAGAUGAUAGAUG
Molecule: regulatory RNA element, 88 nt
Organism: Carnobacterium maltaromaticum LMA28
Lineage: Bacteria; Bacillati; Bacillota; Bacilli; Lactobacillales; Carnobacteriaceae
Rfam family: SAM-III riboswitch aptamer (SMK box)
Source: Rfam